AAAAACUACUCUUAAAGCAUAGGAUGGAUGCCUAGGUAGAUUACACCGAUGAAGGACGCAGAAAACGUGCGAUACGCGGCGGGUAGCUGUUAACAAGCUCUGAUCCGCCGAUCUCCGAAUGGGGCAACCCACUCAUUUAUGAGUGAUCUUAACCCAAUAAAUAAGUUAAGAUCGGGAACCGCCUGAACUGAAACAUCUAAGUAGGGCGAGGAAAAGAAAUCAAAGAGAUCUCCUAAGUAGCGGCGAGCGAAAUGGGGAGAGGCUAAACCAACGGGCUUGCCCGUUGGGGUUGCAGGGCAUAUCUCAAUUUAAUUUGGAAGAGUAAAAAAACUUUAUCAUAGCAGAAUAGUCUGGAAUGUCCAACCAUAGAGGGUGAAAGUCCCGUAAGCGAAAUGAUAAAGACUCUUGAUGUGUUCCUAAGUACCACGAGGCACGCGAAAUCUUGUGGGAAUCCGGGGUGACCACACUCCAAGCCUAAAUAUGUAAUCUGACCGAUAGUGAACUAGUACCGCGAGGGAAAGGUGAAAAGCAGCCCGGAAGGGCAAUGAAAUAGUACCUGAAAUUCUAUGCUAACAAACAGUCAAAGUCCUAUUAUGUGAAUUUAUUCAUGUAAGGAUGAUGGCGUGCCUAUUGAAGAAUGAACCGGUGAGUAAACACAGAAACGGCUUGCUUAAGGGCUUAUGGUCCGGAGGCAUAGUGAAAGCGAGCUUGAAUAGAGCGAAAUAUAAGUCGUAUGUGUUUGACCCGAAACUUGGUGAGCUAACCAUGUGCAGGUUGAAGUGUCGGUAAAACGACAUGGAGGACCGAACCGAUGUAUGCUGCAAAAUGCUCGGAUGACAUGUGGUUAGGGGUGAUAUGCCAAUCGAACCAAGAGAUAGCUGGUUCUCCCCGAAAUAUAUGUAGGUAUAGCCUGGUGUGUUCGCCGUGGAGGUAGAGCACUGAAUGGAUGUCAUGGGAGCAAUCCUGUGUAUCUAAUCAAACUCCGAAUGCCAUAGGCUCAAGAGCACCAGAGUCAGUCCGGCUCGGCUAAGCGAGUCUGGUCGAAAGGGAAACAACCCAGACCUACAGCUAAGGUCCCUAAUAAUUAGUUAAGUGUCAAAGGAUGUGAAAGUGGCUAAACAAUCAGGAGGUUGGCUUAGAAGCAGCCAUCCUUUAAAGAAAGCGUAACAGCUCGCUGAUCGAAUCUACCACUUUUGCGCCGACAAUUUACCGGGGCUCAAACUAAUAACCGAAGCUUAGGAUUAAUCCUGCACUACAUAAAUCAGGUAGCACGUAACCUAGUCGUCUCUAUACACGACUAAAGAAGUGCAAAAAAGAACUAUUUACUAACAAAACAACGAAUCUUAACGUGAUUUAUGUUGUGCAGGGUUAGUGGUAGGGGAGCGUUCUGUGUGCGGCGAAGCAUGACCGUGAGGACGUGUGGAGCGCACAGAAGUGAGAAUGCCGGUAUGAGUAGCGAAAUGGGAGUGAAAAACCCCCACACCGUAAGCCCAAGGUUUCCGCAGCAAUGUUAAUCAACUGCGGGUUAGUCGGCUCCUAAGGCGAGGCCAAUUGGCGUAGUCGAUGGAUAACAGGUUUAUAUUCCUGUACAUGUAUAUAACGAUAAAGACUUUAAGGAAGGACAGAAGUGGAAGAGUCUCGAGGGAUUUUGAUUAUGCCCUUAGAAGUAGAGAGGAAGUGUAGCCAGGAAAAUCCGGCAAGAACACGUUUAUUUAAUCUACGAUAUCAAGAUAGUGUAGCAAUACACCGUCAAGGAGAUAGCUUUCAGUUUUCGAGAAAAUUUUCGUAAAGAGUUAUAUAUUUUGCCGUACCGUAAACCGACACAGGUGGGCGAGUUGAGUAUACGAAGGUGAUCGGGUGAGCCGUGCUUAAGGAACUAGGCAAUACAACUGGACGUACCUUUGGUAGAUGUCCUGCCUCCUUUAAGGAGGUUGCAAUAAAAGACGCUGAGCGACUGUUUAACAAAAACACAGGUCUAUGCAAAAGCGAAAGCUGAAGUAUAUGGGCUGAGACCUGCCCAGUGCUGGUAAUUUAAAGGGAGGGGUAGCAAUGCUCUGAACUGAAGAUCCAGUGAACGGCAGCAGUAACUAUAACUGUUCUAUGGUAGCGAAGUUCCUUGUCAGGUGAGUUCUGACCCGCACGAAAGGUUGAACGACUUAGCGACUGUCUUGAGCACGCGCCCGGCGAAAUUGAAAUGGCUGUGAAGAUGCGGCCUAAUUACACAUGGACAAAAAGACCCCGUGAAGCUUUACUAUA
RNAcentral lists this ribosomal RNA (2256 nucleotides) under bacterium. Its description in RNAcentral is "partial 23S ribosomal RNA". It matches the Rfam family "Bacterial large subunit ribosomal RNA", at positions 1 to 2108 of the family's 2925-position model. The record is from RNAcentral.